RNAcentral lists this ribosomal RNA (1372 nucleotides) under uncultured bacterium. Its description in RNAcentral is "bacterial SSU rRNA". It matches the Rfam family "Bacterial small subunit ribosomal RNA", at positions 28 to 1381 of the family's 1533-position model. The record is from RNAcentral.
GAUAAACGCUGGCGGCGUGCCUAAUACAUGCAAGUCGAGCGAACGGACGAGAAGCUUGCUUCUCUGAUGUUAGCGGCGGACGGGUGAGUAACACGUGGAUAACCUACCUAUAAGACUGGGAUAACUUCGGGAAACCGGAGCUAAUACCGGAUAAUAUUUUGAACCGCAUGGUUCAAAAGUGAAAGACGGUCUUGCUGUCACUUAUAGAUGGAUCCGCGCUGCAUUAGCUAGUUGGUAAGGUAACGGCUUACCAAGGCAACGAUGCAUAGCCGACCUGAGAGGGUGAUCGGCCACACUGGAACUGAGACACGGUCCAGACUCCUACGGGAGGCAGCAGUAGGGAAUCUUCCGCAAUGGGCGAAAGCCUGACGGAGCAACGCCGCGUGAGUGAUGAAGGUCUUCGGAUCGUAAAACUCUGUUAUUAGGGAAGAACAUAUGUGUAAGUAACUGUGCACAUCUUGACGGUACCUAAUCAGAAAGCCACGGCUAACUACGUGCCAGCAGCCGCGGUAAUACGUAGGUGGCAAGCGUUAUCCGGAAUUAUUGGGCGUAAAGCGCGCGUAGGCGGUUUUUUAAGUCUGAUGUGAAAGCCCACGGCUCAACCGUGGAGGGUCAUUGGAAACUGGAAAGCUUGAGUGCAGAAGAGGAAAGUGGAAUUCCAUGUGUAGCGGUGAAAUGCGCAGAGAUAUGGAGGAACACCAGUGGCGAAGGCGACUUUCUGGUCUGUAACUGACGCUGAUGUGCGAAAGCGUGGGGAUCAAACAGGAUUAGAUACCCUGGUAGUCCACGCCGUAAACGAUGAGUGCUAAGUGUUAGGGGGUUUCCGCCCCUUAGUGCUGCAGCUAACGCAUUAAGCACUCCGCCUGGGGAGUACGACCGCGAGGUUGAAACUCAAAGGAAUUGACGGGGACCCGCACAAGCGGUGGAGCAUGUGGUUUAAUUCGAAGCAACGCGAAGAACCUUACCAAAUCUUGACAUCCUUUGACAACUCUAGAGAUAGAGCCUUCCCCUUCGGGGGACAAAGUGACAGGUGGUGCAUGGUUGUCGUCAGCUCGUGUCGUGAGAUGUUGGGUUAAGUCCCGCAACGAGCGCAACCCUUAAGCUUAGUUGCCAUCAUUAAGUUGGGCACUCUAAGUUGACUGCCGGUGACAAACCGGAGGAAGGUGGGGAUGACGUCAAAUCAUCAUGCCCCUUAUGAUUUGGGCUACACACGUGCUACAAUGGACAAUACAAAGGGCAGCGAAACCGCGAGGUCAAGCAAAUCCCAUAAAGUUGUUCUCAGUUCGGAUUGUAGUCUGCAACUCGACUACAUGAAGCUGGAAUCGCUAGUAAUCGUAGAUCAGCAUGCUACGGUGAAUACGUUCCCGGGUCU